GACAGAGGGUGCAAACGUUGUUCGGAAUUACUGGGCGUAAAGCGCGUGUAGGCGGCUAUGCAAGUCGCGUGUGAAACCUCCAGGCUCAACCUGGAGACGCCACGCGAUACUGGCGUGACUAGAGUUCGGUAGGGGAUCACGGAAUUCCUGGUGUAGCGGUGAAAUGCGCAGAUAUCAGGAGGAACACCGGUGGCGAAGGCGGUGAUCUGGGCCGACACUGACGCUGUAGAGCGAAAGCGUGGGGAGCGAACAGG
RNAcentral lists this ribosomal RNA (254 nucleotides) under uncultured bacterium. RNAcentral describes it as "partial 16S ribosomal RNA". It matches the Rfam family "Bacterial small subunit ribosomal RNA", at positions 524 to 776 of the family's 1533-position model. The record is from RNAcentral.